Molecule: ribosomal RNA, 506 nt
Filed under: uncultured bacterium
Lineage: Bacteria
Description: bacterial SSU rRNA
Rfam family: Bacterial small subunit ribosomal RNA
Source: RNAcentral
UCCUGGCUCAGGAUGAACGCUAGCGGCAGGCCUAAUACAUGCAAGUCGAACGGGAUGGUCGCCUUCGGGCGGCCUGAGAGUGGCGCACGGGUGCGCAACGCGUAUGCAACAACCCCCGACAGGCGGAUAGCCGGUGGAAACGCCGGAUAAUACGCCAUGGUUCCGGUGGAGGGCAUCCUCUACUGGAUAAAGCUACGGCGGUCGGGGACGGGCAUGCGUCCCAUUAGAUGGUAGGCGGGGUGACGGCCCACCUAGUCCGCGAUGGGUAGGGGAUCUGAGAGGACGGUCCCCCCACACUGGUACUGAGACACGGACCAGACUCCUGCGGGAGGCAGCAGUAAGGGAUAUUGGUCAAUGGGGGCAACCCUGAACCAGCCAAUGCCGCGUGAGGGAAUGAGGCCCUACGGGUCGUGAACCUCUUUUAUUCGGGGACAAGGACGCGGUCGCGAACCGUGUUUGAGGGUACCGAAGGAAUAAGCAUCGGCUAACUCCGUGCCAGCCGCGGC